RNAcentral lists this ribosomal RNA (223 nucleotides) under uncultured bacterium. Its description in RNAcentral is "partial 16S ribosomal RNA". It matches the Rfam family "Bacterial small subunit ribosomal RNA", at positions 524 to 746 of the family's 1533-position model. The record is from RNAcentral.
UACGAAGGGGCGAGCGUUGUUCGGAAUUACUGGGCGUAAAGGGCGCGCAGGCGGCUCUGAAAGUCAGAUGUGAAAGCCCCGGGCUUAACCUGGGAACUGCAUUUGAUACUCUGGAGCUUGAGUACGGGAGAGGAUAGUGGAAUUCCCAGUGUAGAGGUGAAAUUCGUAGAUAUUGGGAAGAACACCGGUGGCGAAGGCGGCUAUCUGGACCGUAACUGGACGC